UACGUAGGGCGCAAGCGUUGUCCGGAAUUAUUGGGCGUAAAGAGCUCGUAGGCGGUUUGUCGCGUCUGCUGUGAAAACCUAAGGCUCAACCUUGGGCUUGCGGUGGGUACGGGCAGACUAGAGUGCGGUAGGGGUGACUGGAAUUCCUGGUGUAGCGGUGGAAUGCGCAGAUAUCAGGAGGAACACCGAUGGCGAAGGCAGGUCACUGGGCCGCAACUGACGCUGAGGAGCGAAAGCAUGGGGAGCGAACAGG
Molecule: ribosomal RNA, 253 nt
Filed under: uncultured bacterium
Lineage: Bacteria
Description: partial 16S ribosomal RNA
Rfam family: Bacterial small subunit ribosomal RNA
Source: RNAcentral